AAUCAGCACCUCUGGUCUCAUGCAUGUCAACCUGCUUUAGAUAACUUCAAAACAAGCUAAGUGUAGCAGCGCUUGGCAUCAAUGAAAUCAUCAGAGUUCUGACAGGUGCACAUUUCUUUGACAUCUGUCCCAGCUCCACGAAUUUAAAGGGUAAAAGUAAAGUGUGUGGAGAGUGGGGCUGGCAGCCCAGAUAAAGCCUGAGGCGAGGCCCCUCUGAGACGUGUGGGUGGAGGGUCGUGCCACUGCAGAGUGGACCUUUUGAAUAAAAGCCACUUCUAUGAGGAGUCCAGCCUGCAUGAGGGAAAAUGGCACACUGGACAAUGAAAUCAAUACAUCCCUGUUGGUGGCCAAACAACAAAAUGACAGGAAGUUUCCCUCACUGAAUCUGUGACAAGUAAAUCUCCACUGUCUGAA
Long non-coding RNA from Notolabrus celidotus (New Zealand spotty), 414 nucleotides. RefSeq lists it as uncharacterized. The record is from RefSeq and is a predicted model, not a curated record. Lineage: Eukaryota; Metazoa; Chordata; Actinopteri; Labriformes; Labridae. The transcript is spliced from 3 exons.